GACGAACGCUGGCGGCGUGCCUAAUACAUGCAAGUCGAGCGCUCAAGGUUGGUCUUUGUACCAACUGGAUGAGCAGCGAACGGGUGAGUAACGCGUGGGGAAUCUGCCUUUGAGCGGGGGACAACAUUUGGAAACGAAUGCUAAUACCGCAUAAAAACUUUAAACACAAGGUUUAAGUUUGAAAGAUGCAAUUGCAUCACUCAAAGAUGAUCCCGCGUUGUAUUAGCUAGUUGGUGAGGUAAAGGCUCACCAAGGCGAGGGUACAUAGCAGAACUGAGAGGGUGAUCGGCCACAGUGGGAUUGAGACACGGCCAAAACUCCUACGUGAGGGAGCAGGAGGGGAUCGUUGGAGAAGGACGAAGGGCUGACCGUGGGACACCGCGUGAGUGAAGAAGAUUAUCGGAUCGUAAGACUGUGUUGGUAGAGAAGGACGUUAAAGAGGGUGAAAAGCUCAUAAAGUGACGGUAACGACCCAAAAAGGGACGGCUAACUACGUG
This 497-nucleotide ribosomal RNA is filed under the name uncultured bacterium. RNAcentral describes it as "partial 16S ribosomal RNA". It matches the Rfam family "Bacterial small subunit ribosomal RNA", at positions 28 to 507 of the family's 1533-position model. The record is from RNAcentral.